This 254-nucleotide ribosomal RNA is filed under the name uncultured bacterium. RNAcentral's name for it is "partial 16S ribosomal RNA". It matches the Rfam family "Bacterial small subunit ribosomal RNA", at positions 524 to 777 of the family's 1533-position model. The record is from RNAcentral.
UACGAAGGGGGCUAGCGUUGUUCGGAUUUACUGGGCGUAAAGCGCACGUAGGCGGAUCUUUAAGUCCGUUGUGAAAUCCCUGGGCUCAACCUGGGAAUGGCAGUGGAUACUGGAAAGCUAGAGUGCGGUAGAGGGUAGUGGAAUUCCCGGUGUAGCAGUGAAAUGCGUAGAGAUCGGGAGGAACACCAGUGGCGAAGGCGGCUACCUGGACCAGCACUGACACUGAGGCACGAAAGCGUGGGGAGCAAACAGGG